RNAcentral lists this ribosomal RNA (413 nucleotides) under uncultured bacterium. Its description in RNAcentral is "bacterial SSU rRNA". It matches the Rfam family "Bacterial small subunit ribosomal RNA", at positions 29 to 447 of the family's 1533-position model. The record is from RNAcentral.
AAUAAACGUUGGCGGCGUGCUUAACACAUGCAAGUCGAGCGAGAAAGGUCUUCGGACUGAGUACAGCGGCAAACGGGUGAGUAACACGUGGGAAUCUACCUUUUAGUGAAGAAUACCCUCGAGAAAUCGAGGUUAAUACUGCAUACGUCUCGAAAGAGAGAAAGAUGGCCUCUCUGCUGUCGCUGAAAGAUGAGCCUGCGUACUAUUAGCUAGUUGGUAGGGUAAAGGCCUACCAAGGCUAUGAUGGUUAGCCGGCCUGAGAGGGUGUACGGCCACACUGGAACUUAGACACGGUCCAGACUCCUACGGAGGCAGCAGUGAGGAAUAUUGCGCAAUGGGCGAAAGCCUGACGCAGCGACGCCCGCGUCGGAGGAUGAAGGUCUUAGGAUUGUAAACUUCUGUUAAGCGGGAAG